This 247-nucleotide ribosomal RNA is filed under the name Anoxybacillus sp. ST70. RNAcentral describes it as "partial 16S ribosomal RNA". It matches the Rfam family "Bacterial small subunit ribosomal RNA", at positions 63 to 298 of the family's 1533-position model. Lineage: Bacteria; Bacillati; Bacillota; Bacilli; Caryophanales; Anoxybacillaceae. The record is from RNAcentral.
CGAGCGGACGAAUCAAAAGCUUGCUUUUGGAUCGUUAGCGGCGGACGGGUGAGUAACACGUGGGCAACCUGCCCUGUAGACGGGGAUAACACCGAGAAAUCGGUGCUAAUACCGGAUAACACGAAAGACCGCAUGGUCUUUCGUUGAAAGGCGGCGCAAGCUGUCGCUACAGGAUGGGCCCGCGGCGCAUUAGCUAGUUGGUGAGGUAACGGCUCACCAAGGCGACGAUGCGUAGCCGACCUGAGAG